This 241-nucleotide non-coding RNA is filed under the name Anaeroplasma bactoclasticum. Lineage: Bacteria; Bacillati; Mycoplasmatota; Mollicutes; Anaeroplasmatales; Anaeroplasmataceae. The record is from RNAcentral.
GGAGUCCGACCUAGAAAGAGUUAGCACCUCAUCUAGUACCGAGACCUUGGAGCCAAAAUCGUGAGACUAGGUUUAAGCGUAGGUCAGGGAUACUGCAAGCCUAAAUGCGUAAGCGUGAAGCAAUUCAGCCUCGUCAUAUAUAAAGUCGUGGGAGCAGAGACGUUCCUUCUCGUUGAAAGCAAUACCGGUUAUAUCGUUAGUGCGAGAUAUAAUGAGAGUUCCACCGGGGUCAAUAAGAGCU